RNAcentral lists this ribosomal RNA (253 nucleotides) under uncultured bacterium. RNAcentral's name for it is "partial 16S ribosomal RNA". It matches the Rfam family "Bacterial small subunit ribosomal RNA", at positions 524 to 776 of the family's 1533-position model. The record is from RNAcentral.
CACGUAGGGCGCAAGCGUUGUCCGGAAUUAUUGGGCGUAAAGGGCGCGUAGGCGGCCCGCUAAGUCGAACGUGAAAUCCCUGGGCUCAACCCAGGAACUGCGUCCGAUACUGGCAGGCUUGAAUCCGGGAGAGGGAUGUGGAAUUCCAGGUGUAGCGGUGAAAUGCGUAGAUAUCUGGAGGAACACCGGUGGCGAAGGCGGGUCUCUGGGCCGAUACUGACGCUGAGGAGCGAAAGCGUGGGGAGCAAACAGG